GUAGUCUGCAACUCGACUACAUGAAGCUGGAAUCGCUAGUAAUCGCGAAUCAGCAUGUCGCGGUGAAUACGUUCCCGGGUCUUGCACACACCGCUCGUCACACCAUGGGAGUCAGUAACGCCCGAAGCCGGUGACCCAACCAAGAAUGGAGGGAGCCGUCGAAGGUGGGACCGAUAACUGGGGUGAAGUCGUAACAAGGUAAC
RNAcentral lists this ribosomal RNA (203 nucleotides) under uncultured bacterium. RNAcentral's name for it is "partial 16S ribosomal RNA". It matches the Rfam family "Bacterial small subunit ribosomal RNA", at positions 1300 to 1500 of the family's 1533-position model. The record is from RNAcentral.